Long non-coding RNA from Solanum pennellii, 298 nucleotides. RefSeq lists it as uncharacterized. The record is from RefSeq and is a predicted model, not a curated record. NCBI's taxonomy places the organism in Eukaryota, Viridiplantae, Streptophyta, Magnoliopsida, Solanales, Solanaceae. The transcript is spliced from 3 exons.
UCAGCCUUUGCAGUAUCGUUUCUUUCUAUUUUUCACCUCUCCUUUUGAGUUUUGAUCAAUUAUGUAUCAUCAAAAUUUCGGUUUCUCUUGUCUCAUAAAAGUGGAGAUAUGAGACUUAACAAUCUAAAGGUACAUGAUCGUCACUUUAAUGCAAAGUGGAUUCCACCGUUAUACGUCAAAACAGAUUUGAAUUGGAGCUGAUAAGUUUGGCAUAUCGCUUUUACAAAAAUGACAAGAAAAGGAAGAAAAAAAAAAGGAAGAAUUAAUAAAGGCAUCCAAAGUCGAUUGAGGACGUGAU